AGCACAGAGAGCUUGCUCUCGGGUGACGAGCGGCGGACGGGUGAGUAAUGUCUGGGAAACUGCCUGAUGGAGGGGGAUAACUACUGGAAACGGUAGCUAAUACCGCAUAACGUCGCAAGACCAAAGUGGGGGACCUUCGGGCCUCAUGCCAUCAGAUGUGCCCAGAUGGGAUUAGCUAGUAGGUGGGGUAAUGGCUCACCUAGGCGACGAUCCCUAGCUGGUCUGAGAGGAUGACCAGCCACACUGGAACUGAGACACGGUCCAGACUCCUACGGGAGGCAGCAGUGGGGAAUAUUGCACAAUGGGCGCAAGCCUGAUGCAGCCAUGCCGCGUGUGUGAAGAAGGCCUUCGGGUUGUAAAGCACUUUCAGCGGGGAGGAAGGCGUUAAGGUUAAUAACCUUGGCGAUUGACGUUACCCGCAGAAGAAGCACCGGCUAACUCCGUGCCAGCAGCCGCGGUAAUACGGAGGGUGCAAGCGUUAAUCGGAAUUACUGGGCGUAAAGCGCACGCAGGCGGUCUGUCAAGUCGGAUGUGAAAUCCCCGGGCUCAACCUGGGAACUGCAUUCGAAACUGGCAGGCUAGAGUCUUGUAGAGGGGGGUAGAAUUCCAGGUGUAGCGGUGAAAUGCGUAGAGAUCUGGAGGAAUACCGGUGGCGAAGGCGGCCCCCUGGACAAAGACUGACGCUCAGGUGCGAAAGCGUGGGGAGCAAACAGGAUUAGAUACCCUGGUAGUCCACGCCGUAAACGAUGUCGAUUUGGAGGUUGUGCCCUUGAGGCGUGGCUUCCGGAGCUAACGCGUUAAAUCGACCGCCUGGGGAGUACGGCCGCAAGGUUAAAACUCAAAUGAAUUGACGGGGGCCCGCACAAGCGGUGGAGCAUGUGGUUUAAUUCGAUGCAACGCGAAGAACCUUACCUGGUCUUGACAUCCACAGAACUUUCCAGAGAUGGAUUGGUGCCUUCGGGAACUGUGAGACAGGUGCUGCAUGGCUGUCCUCCGCUCCUGUUGUGAAAUGUUUGGGUUAAAUCCCGCCAC
Molecule: ribosomal RNA, 1032 nt
Filed under: Klebsiella pneumoniae
Lineage: Bacteria; Pseudomonadati; Pseudomonadota; Gammaproteobacteria; Enterobacterales; Enterobacteriaceae
Description: bacterial SSU rRNA
Rfam family: Bacterial small subunit ribosomal RNA
Source: RNAcentral